AAUUACUUUAUACCCCAUUAGGUUUGACCAUAAUUACAAGCAUGUCCCUGUGAUUUUAGAUUCGAAUUAUGAAAUCCUUCUAUUUUCAUUUUAAAUUCAAAUUAUUACAUCCCUCUAUUAUACAAAAAUUAGCUCUAUUAUUUUUGUUUUUGAGAUUCCAAUUAAAAGCAUUUAUUAAAAAAAGCUCCAACAUAGUUAAACAAAACCAAUAAUUUUUUUAAACUAGAAAAUUUUAUUUUAUAGAUUACAUCAACAAGCUAAAGAAAAUGAUGACAAAUAUUAAAAGGAAAAAGAAAAGAAAAAAACAAUUGAGCCAAGAAAUCAUUAUAUUAUAUUUUAAGUAUUUGUCCACGUGGUGUUCUAAAAAAAAGAUAUUUCUAUUUUAAAAACUAUAAAACUUUAUUGUUAAAAAAUUAAUUUUAUAUGAUAGAUUGAUAUUAGAAGCCUUUUAAAUUUAAAAUUCUAUGUUAUUCCUGUUAUAAUUUUAAUUUUAAAAUUAAUUGUUUAAACAAAUUAAACAAUGCUUGCUGAAACUCACUUGAAGCAUGAGAUUACCACUGUUUAAAAAUCAAAUCCAAAGAACUUAAAAAAAAGGACAAGAAUAAAAGAAAAAAGGUAGGUAAAAGGAGAAAUGUUAGAGAAAGAAAAAGAGGAAAAGAGUAUAACGGGGAGGGUUAUUUUAGAGAUUUCACUAAGGUUGUCUAACAGAAAAAUACUCUAAAAUCUUAACAGAUGCAAUAUACUGUAAAUAAAUUAAUAAAAUCAAAAUACAAGGAUUUCAUAGUUCUAAUUUAAAACCUUAGGGACCUACUGGUAAUUAUAGUGAAAUUCAGGGGGUAUGAAGUACUUAACCCUAGGUGUUAAGUCUGUAAGAGAAAGACUUAAAGUUAAAAGUUGUUCUUUUAAUGACUUGCUGUCAUGUGAAGUUUGAAUUUUUAAUAUGAA
This 945-nucleotide unclassified non-coding RNA is filed under the name Hevea brasiliensis (rubber tree). Lineage: Eukaryota; Viridiplantae; Streptophyta; Magnoliopsida; Malpighiales; Euphorbiaceae. The record is from RNAcentral.